GAUCCUGGCUCAGGAUGAACGCUAGCUACAGGCUUAACACAUGCAAGUCGAGGGGAAACGACAUCGAAAGCUUGCUUUUGAUGGGCGUCGACCGGCGCACGGGUGAGUAACGCGUAUCCAACCUGCCCAUCACUUGGGAAUAACCUUGCGAAAGUAAGACUAAUGCCCAAUGAUAUCCCACGAAGGCAUCCGAAAGUGGGAUUAAAGAUUUAUCGGUGAUGGAUGGGGAUGCGUCUGAUUAG
RNAcentral lists this ribosomal RNA (242 nucleotides) under uncultured bacterium. RNAcentral describes it as "partial 16S ribosomal RNA". It matches the Rfam family "Bacterial small subunit ribosomal RNA", at positions 15 to 244 of the family's 1533-position model. The record is from RNAcentral.